AGAAUCAACGCUGGCGGCGUGCCUAACACAUGCAAGUCGAACGAGAAAGUGGAGCAAUCCACAAGUAAAGUGGCGCACGGGUGAGUAACACGUGACUAACCUACCCUUGAGUGGGGGAUAACCUAGGGAAACCUGGGCUAAUACCGCAUAAUACCUACGGGUCAAAGGAGCAAUUCGCUUAAGGAGGGGGUCGCGGCCGAUUAGUUAGUUGGCGGGGUAAUGGCCCACCAAGACGAUGAUCGGUAUCCGGCCUGAGAGGGCGCACGGACACACUGGAACUGAAACACGGUCCAGACUCCUACGGGAGGCAGCAGUGGGGAAUUUUGCGCAAUGGGGGAAACCCUGACGCAGCAACGCCGCGUGGAGGAUGAAGUCCCUUGGGACGUAAACUCCUUUCGAUCGGAACGAUAAUGACGGUACCGGAAGAAGAAGCCCCGGCUAACUUCGCGCCAGCAGCCGC
This 460-nucleotide ribosomal RNA is filed under the name uncultured bacterium. Its description in RNAcentral is "SSU rRNA". It matches the Rfam family "Bacterial small subunit ribosomal RNA", at positions 26 to 518 of the family's 1533-position model. The record is from RNAcentral.